RNAcentral lists this ribosomal RNA (834 nucleotides) under Micromonospora sp. IM-1078. RNAcentral describes it as "bacterial SSU rRNA". It matches the Rfam family "Bacterial small subunit ribosomal RNA", at positions 38 to 889 of the family's 1533-position model. Lineage: Bacteria; Bacillati; Actinomycetota; Actinomycetes; Micromonosporales; Micromonosporaceae. The record is from RNAcentral.
GGCGGCGUGCUUAACACAUGCAAGUCGAGCGGAAAGGCCCUUCGGGGUACUCGAGCGGCGAACGGGUGAGUAACACGUGAGCAACCUGCCCUAGGCUUUGGGAUAACCCCGGGAAACCGGGGCUAAUACCGAAUAGGACCCGUACCGCAUGGUGGUGGGUGGAAAGUUUUUCGGCCUGGGAUGGGCUCGCGGCCUAUCAGCUUGUUGGUGGGGUGAUGGCCUACCAAGGCGACGACGGGUAGCCGGCCUGAGAGGGCGACCGGCCACACUGGGACUGAGACACGGCCCAGACUCCUACGGGAGGCAGCAGUGGGGAAUAUUGCACAAUGGGCGGAAGCCUGAUGCAGCGACGCCGCGUGAGGGAUGACGGCCUUCGGGUUGUAAACCUCUUUCAGCAGGGACGAAGCGUAAGUGACGGUACCUGCAGAAGAAGCGCCGGCCAACUACGUGCCAGCAGCCGCGGUAAGACGUAGGGCGCGAGCGUUGUCCGGAUUUAUUGGGCGUAAAGAGCUCGUAGGCGGCUUGUCGCGUCGACUGUGAAAACCCGCGGCUCAACUGCGGGCCUGCAGUCGAUACGGGCAGGCUAGAGUUCGGUAGGGGAGACUGGAAUUCCUGGUGUAGCGGUGAAAUGCGCAGAUAUCAGGAGGAACACCGGUGGCGAAGGCGGGUCUCUGGGCCGAUACUGACGCUGAGGAGCGAAAGCGUGGGGAGCGAACAGGAUUAGAUACCCUGGUAGUCCACGCCGUAAACGUUGGGCGCUAGGUGUGGGGGGCCUCUCCGGUUCCCUGUGCCGCAGCUAACGCAUUAAGCGCCCCGCCUGGGGAGUACGGCCGC